This 447-nucleotide ribosomal RNA is filed under the name uncultured bacterium. RNAcentral's name for it is "bacterial SSU rRNA". It matches the Rfam family "Bacterial small subunit ribosomal RNA", at positions 29 to 524 of the family's 1533-position model. The record is from RNAcentral.
AACGAACGCUGGCGGCAGGCUUAACACAUGCAAGUCGAACGCCCCGCAAGGGGAGUGGCAGACGGGUGAGUAACGCGUGGGAACGUGCCCUUCGCUUCGGAAUAGCCCCGGGAAACUGGGAGUAAUACCGGAUACGCCGUAUUGGGAAAGAUUUAUCGGCGAAGGAUCGGCCCGCGUUAGAUUAGCUAGUUGGCGGUGUAAUGGACCACCAAGGCUACGAUCUAUAGCUGGUCUGAGAGGAUGAUCAGCCACACUGGGACUGAGACACGGCCCAGACUCCUACGGGAGGCAGCAGUGAGGAAUCUUGGACAAUGGGCGCAAGCCUGAUCCAGCCAUGCCGCGUGAGUGAAGAAGGCCUUAGGGUUGUAAAACUCUUUCGCCGGAGAAGAUAAUGACGGUAUCCGGAGAAGAAGCCCCGGCUAACUUCGUGCCAGCAGCCGCGGUAAU